UACAAGGCAGACGGCUCAGUAACGCGUAGUCAACCUACCCUAUGGACGGGGAUAACCUCGGGAAACUGAGAAUAAUACCCGAUAGAACAUUAUACCUGGAAUGGUUUAUGUUUCAAAUAAUUUAUUGCCGUAGGAUGGGACUGCGGCCUAUCAGUUUGUUGGUGAGGUAAUGGCCCACCAAGACUAUUACAGGUACGGGCUCUGAGAGGAGUAGCCCGGAGAUGGGUACUGAGACACGGACCCAGGCCCUAUGGGGCGCAGCAGGCGAGAAAACUUUGCAAUGUGCGAAAGCACGACAAGGUUAAUCCGAGUGGUUUCUGCUAAAGGAACCUUUUGUUAGUCAUAGAACCACUAAUGAAUAAGGGGUGGGCAAGUUCUGGUGUCAGCCGCCGCGGUAAAACCAGCACCUCAAGUGGUCAGGAUGAUUAUUGGGCCUAAAGCAUCCGUAGCCUGCUUUGUAAGUUUUCGGUUAAAUCCAUACGCUCAACGUAUGGGCUGCCGGGAAUACUGCAUAGCUAGGGAGUGGGAGAGGUAGACGGUACUCGGUAGGAAGGGGUAAAAUCCUUUGAUCUAUUGAUGACCACCUGUGGCGAAGGCGGUCUACCAGAACACGUCCGACGGUGAGGGAUGAAAGCUGGGGGAGCAAACCGGAUUAGAUACCCGGGUAGUCCCAGCUGUAAACUAUGCAAACUCGGUGAUGCAUUGGCUUAAUGCCAAUGCAGUGCCGCAGGGAAGCCGUUAAGUUU
Molecule: ribosomal RNA, 746 nt
Filed under: uncultured archaeon
Lineage: Archaea
Description: bacterial SSU rRNA
Rfam family: Archaeal small subunit ribosomal RNA
Source: RNAcentral